RNAcentral lists this ribosomal RNA (299 nucleotides) under uncultured bacterium. RNAcentral's name for it is "partial 16S ribosomal RNA". It matches the Rfam family "Bacterial small subunit ribosomal RNA", at positions 28 to 326 of the family's 1533-position model. The record is from RNAcentral.
GACGAACGCUGGCGGCGUGCUUAACACAUGCAAGUCGAGCGGUAAGGCCCUUUCGGGGGUACACGAGCGGCGAACGGGUGAGUAACACGUGGGUGACCUGCCCUCAGCUCUGGGAUAAGCCUGGGAAACCGGGUCUAAUACCGGAUAUGACUCCAUGACGCAUGUUGGUGGGGUGGAAAGCCUUGUGCGGCUGAGGAUGGGCCCGCGGCCUAUCAGCUUGGUUGGUGGGGNGAUGGCCUACCAAGGCGACGACGGGUAGCCGGCCUGAGAGGGCGACCGGCCACACUGGGACUGAGACA